Molecule: ribosomal RNA, 490 nt
Filed under: uncultured bacterium
Lineage: Bacteria
Description: partial 16S ribosomal RNA
Rfam family: Bacterial small subunit ribosomal RNA
Source: RNAcentral
AAUGAACGCUGGCGGCAUGCCUUACACAUGCAAGUCGAACGGCAGCAUGACCUAGCUUGCUGGGUUGAUGGCGAGUGGCGAACGGGUGAGUAAUGCAUCGGAACGUGCCGUUUUGGGGGUGAUAACGUAGCGAAAGUUACGCUAAUACCGCAUAUUCUCUGAGGAGGGAAGCAGGUGGCCAUCUGGCCUUGCGCUAGAAGAGCGGCCGAUGUCGUAUUAGCUAGUUGGGGGGGUAAAGGCUCACCGAGGCAACGAGCCGUAGCGGGUCUGAGGGGCUGAUGGGCCGCCUGGGGACUGAGACACGGCCCAGAGUCCUACGGGAGGCAGCAGUGGGGAAUUUUGGACAAUGGGCGCAAGCAUGGUCCAGCCAUGCCGCGUGAGUGAAGAAGGCCUUCGGGUUGUAAAGCUCUUUCGGCUGGGAAGAAAUCGCACCCUCUAAUACAGGGUGUGGAUGACGGUACCAGCAUAAGAAGCACCGGCUAACUACGUG